RNAcentral lists this ribosomal RNA (482 nucleotides) under uncultured Sphingobacteriales bacterium. RNAcentral describes it as "bacterial SSU rRNA". It matches the Rfam family "Bacterial small subunit ribosomal RNA", at positions 903 to 1382 of the family's 1533-position model. Lineage: Bacteria; Pseudomonadati; Bacteroidota; Sphingobacteriia; Sphingobacteriales. The record is from RNAcentral.
AAAGGAAGUUAGACGGGGCCCGGCCACAAGCGGUGGAGCAUGUGGUUUAAUUCGAUGAUACGCGAGGAACCUUACCUGGGCUCGAACGUAAGAUGACUGUAGGUGAAAGCUUACAUCUCUUCGGAGCAUUUUACGAGGUGCUGCAUGGUUGUCGUCAGCUCGUGCCGUGAGGUGUCGGGUUAAGUCCCAUAACGAGCGCAACCCCUACCUUUAGUUGCCAUCAGGUUAAGCUGGGGACUCUAAAGGAACUGCCUACGCAAGUAGUGAGGAAGGCGGGGAUGACGUCAAAUCAGCACGGCCCUUACGUCCAGGGCUACACACGUGCUACAAUGGCCGAUACAGAGGGCAGCUACCUGGUGACAGGAUGCAAAUCUCCAAAGUCGGUCUCAGUUCGGAUCGGAGUCUGCAACCCGACUCCGUGAAGUUGGAUUCGCUAGUAAUCGCGCAUCAGCCAUGGCGCGGUGAAUACGUUCCCGGGCCUU